GUGAAGGAAAGUGAUAAAUUAGUUGCAACCAGUAAAAUAACGCCACAAGACAAACAGAACAUGGUGAAACGUGUCAGCACCAUGGCUUAUGCACUACAAGCUGAGAUGAAUCACUUCCACAGUAACCGGAUUUAUGACUACAACAGUGUCAUUCGUCUGUAUCUGGAGCAGCAGGCACAGUUUUAUGAAACGAUUGCACAGAAGCUGAGGCAGGCACUCAGCCGCUUUCCUGUCAUGUAGAGAAUAA
Molecule: long non-coding RNA, 247 nt
Organism: Cariama cristata (Red-legged seriema)
Lineage: Eukaryota; Metazoa; Chordata; Aves; Cariamiformes; Cariamidae
Exons: 3
Source: RefSeq, a predicted model, not a curated record